This 623-nucleotide ribosomal RNA is filed under the name uncultured fungus. Its description in RNAcentral is "eukaryotic LSU rRNA". The stretch from base 194 to 347 matches the Rfam family "5.8S ribosomal RNA". Lineage: Eukaryota; Fungi. The record is from RNAcentral.
AGUCGUAACAAGGUUUCCGUAGGUGAACCUGCGGAAGGAUCAUUAGUGAAUAUAGGAUGUCCAACUUAACUUGGAGUCCGAACUCUCACUUUCUAACCCUGUGCAUUUGUUUGGGAUAGUAGCCUCUCGGGGUGAACUCCUAUUCACUUAUAAACACAAAGUCUAUGAAUGUAUUUAAUUUAUAACAAAAUAAAACUUUCAACAACGGAUCUCUUGGCUCUCGCAUCGAUGAAGAACGCAGCGAAAUGCGAUAAGUAAUGUGAAUUGCAGAAUUCAGUGAAUCAUCGAAUCUUUGAACGCACCUUGCGCUCCAUGGUAUUCCGUGGAGCAUGCCUGUUUGAGUGUCAUGAAUACUUCAACCCUCCUCUUUUCUAGUGAAAGAGAAGGUGCUUGGUUUCUGAGCGUUUUGCUGGCCUCACGGUCGAGCUCGCUCGUAAUGCAUUAGCAUCCGCAAUCGAACUUCGGAUUGACUUGGCGUAAUAGACUAUUCGCUGAGGAAUUCUAAUCUUCGGAUUAGAGCCGGGUUAGGUUAAAGGAAGCUUCUAAUCCUAAUGUCUAUAUUUUAAGAUUAGAUCUCAAAUCAGGUAGGACUACCCGCUGAACUUAAGCAUAUCAAUAAGUCG